RNAcentral lists this transfer RNA (82 nucleotides) under Ixodes scapularis (black-legged tick). RNAcentral's name for it is "tRNA-Ile". It matches the Rfam family "tRNA". Rfam says of the family: Transfer RNA (tRNA) molecules are approximately 80 nucleotides in length. Their secondary structure includes four short double-helical elements and three loops (D, anti-codon, and T loops). Further hydrogen bonds mediate the characteristic L-shaped molecular structure. tRNAs have two regions of fundamental functional importance: the anti-codon, which is responsible for specific mRNA codon recognition, and the 3' end, to which the tRNAs corresponding amino acid is attached (by aminoacyl-tRNA synthetases). tRNAs cope with the degeneracy of the genetic code in two manners: having more than one tRNA (with a specific anti-codon) for a particular amino acid; and 'wobble' base-pairing, i.e. permitting non-standard base-pairing at the 3rd anti-codon position. Lineage: Eukaryota; Metazoa; Arthropoda; Arachnida; Ixodida; Ixodidae. The record is from RNAcentral.
GCAGUCGUGGCCGAGUGGUUAAGGCGAUGGACUAAUAAUCCAUUGGGGUCUCCCUGCACUGGGUCGAACCCUGUCGACUGCG